UUCUUUGCUAACUUCUUGUAGCUUCAACACUUCUUAAUUCAUCUGUUUUCUUUUUUGAACAGUGCAUAUUUUCAGGUGUACUCAAUGAGCAGAGGGAAAAGUAUAGAAGCCAUUGCAUAAGGCAGUAUAGGUUGACAAUCCCUUUUCUACCUAUUUAGAAGUCCAAAGAGAUUUGAUAAAUGAAAGACUUUUCAUAACUCAUUUGGCAUCAAAACCUGACCUGAUGUGAACUCAUUUGGCAACAAAGCUUGUCCUCAACUGACUUGAGGCUAUUUUUAAUCUCCAUUGAUCCCAAUCAGUGUGAAUGUUCACACAUUUCACUGAAGCAGUAUCAAUUUGUUUCAUUACAGGGUUCUACCCCAGACCCCACUGGGUAUCUUAUGUAUGAUUUGGUGUAAUUUAUCUUAUUAUCACUCCAAGAUUCAAAAAGUCCUAAAUUACAAAACACUUCUGGACCCUGAGGGUUUUGUAUAAGUGAUUUCAGGUAUUAUACAAGCGUUCAGAGCCAGUGUGUGGUUUUCUGUGCUCCCCUUCCCCUCUGCUACAACUCCAGACAGACAGAGGCUUCACUGUCAGCCUGAAUUCUAAAGUGAAUCUGUAACUGAGUGGAACCACAGCCCACCAACAAUGCACAUACAGCGUGAGCUACACCUUCGUUAUUAUAAGCUGCUGAGAUUUGAGAGUUGUUUGUUACUGUACCAUAACUUAGCCUAUCCUUACUGGACUGAAGUCCCUGCUUAACCAUUUCCUAACUUUAUGACCUUGGGAAAUUUUCAUUUCUCUGAACUUUAGUUUCUUUAUUGGUAAAAUAAGGAUAAUGUGUAAAA
Molecule: long non-coding RNA, 827 nt
Organism: Macaca mulatta (Rhesus monkey)
Lineage: Eukaryota; Metazoa; Chordata; Mammalia; Primates; Cercopithecidae
Source: RefSeq, a predicted model, not a curated record